UUCCAGUAGUAGCGCUCGGUAGUUUCUGCGCUCCAGGUCCACUACCUGUUGAAACUCGACUUCCAGGACAAGCGCUACGUAAUUCUGGCUGUCCAGGUUCUUGACCUGGUGAUUUUUGACCUUCCGGACUAAUUUUCAAGUUUACAAGUUUGAUUAUUGAAAACGUCAUGUUUUGUACCAUCAAACCAAAAUGCAUGUUUCAGAUAACACUUUGAAUCGGAAAAAACCGAGCGACCAGGACCAACAAAUUGCAAUUGACAAAAAUUACGCACUCCAUCUUUCCGGCCAAUUCGAGAUUCCAGCGACGAGGUGUUUCGAUGACCAACUAAUGACUUCGCCAUUUUGCGACAAUUGAUGUAUUCGAGGUAUGACCCGAGGUGGUUGGAGGUGGUCGGAAGUGUUUAAGGGAGGUUGCGGGGGAUCGAGGUGGAUGAGGAGAAGGACGGAAAGGAGGAGGAGGAGAUAGAUGAGGAGAAAAAAGUGGACGAGGAGGACGAGGAUAACGAGGAUUUCUGCACUUGAUCGAGGUAUAACCCGAGGUGGUUAGCCGUGGUCGUUAGAGGUGGUUGGCAGCGGUUGGAGGUGAUCGGAGGUGGACGAGGAGGAGGACGAGGAAGACGAGGAUUUGUGCUCGGUAUAACCCGAGGUAGUUCGCGGUGGUUGCGGGUGAUCGAGGUGGGCGAGGAGGAGGACGAGGAUGACGAGGACUUGUACACUGUGAGUAUAACAUUUUUAUUAUAUUCAUUAGAGUAGGAGUAGGAUCAGGAGUAGGAGUAGUGGGAGUUGAAGUAGAAGUGGUAGAA
This 803-nucleotide long non-coding RNA is filed under the name Neodiprion pinetum (white pine sawfly). RNAcentral describes it as "uncharacterized LOC124211260, transcript variant X2". The record is from RNAcentral. Lineage: Eukaryota; Metazoa; Arthropoda; Insecta; Hymenoptera; Diprionidae.